AUAAUAAUAAUAAUAAUAAUAAUAAUACGAAAGUAAAAGAAAAGGUCCGUGGUCAAAGCAAAAGUAAUGAAAUAAAUGGAAUAGUAAACAAUAAAAAUAAUAUACGUACUACAUAUAGUGUCACCAAUAACGAAGUUACAAUAACCACGAAUACUAGCAUAAGUAACAUUAGUAACGUUAGUGUAGAUAGUAACAAUAAAGAGUCAAGUACACAUUCGAGUGUUAAAAAUGUUCAAAGUGUACAGGGAAGUACUGCUAGUAGCACUGCGACGGAUAAUAAUCCAACACUUGGAGGAAUAAAAAAAAAAAUUGGAAAAAAUAAAAUGGAGUAUAACUGGUAAAAGAAAAAUCGAUAAGUUAGUAGAUAUAAUGAAAGGAGAAAAACAAAAUGUUAAUUUACAAGUUAAAAGUGAAAAUUCUCAAAAAAAAAAAAGAAAAUAAAAAUAAUGAUAACAAUGCAACUAAUAAUAGUAAUAAAAAAACAGGAUGGAACUUAAAUAAAAUGGAAAGUAAUAAAAACACCAGCUCACGUGAUUUUCCUGAUUUAACCACAGGAGUUAAACAUAACACAUCCAAAAGCGUAAAUAAAAACGUGCAAAAUAAAACUAGUACUUAUAAAAAUAGUGCUACUGCUACUAAUACUAACAAUAAUAAUAAUAAUAACACACCGGGUAUCGAAGUUAAAAAUGCAGCACAAACUAACAAUUUAAACAAUACUGUAAAAACCAAAAAUGAUACAUCAAUUAGUAAUAAUAAUGUAAAUAAUAAUAAAAAGAAAAAUGAAAAAAACAAUAUGCAAAAAUGGAAAAAUGAAAAUGCAGACACUCACUUUAAUGAUAACAUGAAUAAACAAUUCCCACCUAUUUUGAUUACUCAAAAAAAUAAUGAUGAGAGUAACAAGAAGAAAACUAAUAAUCCAUCUGAUCAACAUGCAAAAGAUUUAAAACAGCUAACAAAAUCUUGUAAAUUGCCCCUAGAUGAAUCUCUUUUGAAUUUCUUAAAAAAUUUCAAGAAAGCAGACGAAAUUUAUGCAUUCCUUCAACAUAGCGUUAAAGAUAAGGAUAAGCUGAACACAUUUGCUAAUGAAUUUAUUAAAUUAAAUAAUAAAAAUAAUUCAAAUGUUAAUCAACCAAAGAAUAAGAAAGGUUUGUAACAAGUGAUAAAAAAUUAUUACAAGUUAUUAUAUACCUAACUAAUUAGCUUGCUUAUCAGCCUAUGUUUUUUUAUUUUAAUUUUAAAAAUAUAUAUACAGUCUAUUUAUUAAGAAUAAUUUAACACGCAUAUGUUAGUUAAUUUAUAGUGUUUUAUGGUUUUUUCUUGUAUAUCAUGUUUGCUUUUUUUUUCUUCUUUAUGUAUUAUAUAUAUACAUAUAUAUACACAAAUUAUUUAUGUAUACAUAUAAGUGAAAAUACUAUAAGUACAUAUAUACAUGUAUAUAUAUAUACAUGUAUAUAUAUAUAUAUAUAUAUAUUAACAAAUAAAAACUAAGAAAUAAUAAUUUUAAUAAAGCA
This 1511-nucleotide long non-coding RNA is filed under the name Piliocolobus tephrosceles (Ugandan red Colobus). Its description in RNAcentral is "lncRNA (ENSPTEG00000018510.1)". Lineage: Eukaryota; Metazoa; Chordata; Mammalia; Primates; Cercopithecidae. The record is from RNAcentral.